Molecule: small RNA, 144 nt
Filed under: Pseudomonas fulva
Lineage: Bacteria; Pseudomonadati; Pseudomonadota; Gammaproteobacteria; Pseudomonadales; Pseudomonadaceae
Description: Manganese sequence
Rfam family: Manganese Mn2+ riboswitch aptamer (yybP-ykoY)
About the family: This RNA was originally discovered in E. coli during a large scale screen and was named SraF. The family was later found to exist upstream of related families of protein genes in many bacteria, including the the yybP and ykoK genes in B. subtilis. The specific functions of these proteins are unknown, but this structured RNA element may be involved in their genetic regulation as a riboswitch.
Source: RNAcentral
GCGCGCGUCCUAGGGGAGUAGUCUCCCGCGAGCGCCAGCUCGCCCGGCAUGCAUCAACAUACUUGGUCCGCAGACCAUGGUGCGUGCGACCCAAGAUCCGCCAAGACGGAUCUGCGCCGUUCGGCUCGAACGCCGCGCAGGGUU